This 438-nucleotide ribosomal RNA is filed under the name uncultured bacterium. RNAcentral describes it as "partial 16S ribosomal RNA". It matches the Rfam family "Bacterial small subunit ribosomal RNA", at positions 29 to 508 of the family's 1533-position model. The record is from RNAcentral.
AGCGAACGCUGGCGGCAGGCUUAACACAUGCAAGUCGAGCGGGCAUCCUUGUGGUGUCAGCGGCAGACGGGUGAGUAACGCGUGGGAACGUGCCCUUCGGUUCGGAAUAACUCAGGGAAACUUGAGCUAAUACCGGAUACGUGCGAGAGCAGAAAGGUUUAUCUGCCGAAGGAUCGGCCCGCGUCUGAUUAGCUAGUUGGUGAGGUUAUGGCUCACCAAGGCGACGAUCAGUAGCUGGUCUGAGAGGAUGAUCAGCCACACUGGGACUGAGACACGGCCCAGACUCCUACGGGAGGCAGCAGUGGGGAAUAUUGGACAAUGGGGGCAACCCUGAUCCAGCCAUGCCGCGUGAGUGAUGACGGCCUUAGGGUUGUAAAGCUCUUUUCUUCGGGACGAUAAUGACGGUACCGGAGGAAUAAGCCCCGGCUAACUUCGUGC